CGAUCGGGUAGUAGGUAAGCGAUGGGGUGACGCAGGAAGGUAGUCCAGCCCAGGCGAUGGUUGUCCUGGGGUAAGCAUGUAGGGCGUGUCGUAGGUAAAUCCGCGGCAUUUAAGCCUGAGAUGUGAUGCCGAGCCGAUUGUGGUGAAGUGGAUGAUCCUAUGCUGCCGAGAAAAGCCUCUAGUGAGUGUUGUGGCGGCCCGUACCCUAAACCGACUCAGGUGGUCAGGUAGAGAAUACCAAGGCGAUCGGGUGAACUGUGGUUAAGGAACUCGGCAAAUUGCCCCCGUAACUUCGGGAGAAGGGGGACCUCUGUUGGUGAUGGGCUUUACGCCUGGAGCUGGUGGGGGUCGCAGUGGCCAGGGGGAAGCGACUGUUUACUAAAAACACAGGUCCGUGCGAAGUCGUAAGACGAUGUAUACGGACUGACGCCUGCCCGGUGCCGGAACGUUAAGGGGACCGCUUAGCUGACGUGAGUUGGCGAAGGUGAGAACUUAAGCGCCGGUAAACGGCGGUGGUAACUAUAACCAUCCUAAGGUAGCGAAAUUCCUUGUCGGGUAAGUUCCGACCUGCACGAAUGGCGUAACGACUUCCCCGCUGUCUCAACCGCAGACCCGGCGAAAUUGCACUACGAGUAAAGAUGCUCGUUUCGCGCAGCAGGACGGAAAGACCCCGGGACCUUCACUACAGCUUGACAUUGGCGUUUGGAACGUCUUGUGUAGGAUAGGUGGGAGACUGGGAAGCUGUCACGCUAGUGAUGGUGGAGUCAUUGGUGAAAUACCACUCUGGUCGUUUUGAACGUCUAACUCUGGUCCGUGAUCCGGAUCGGGGACAGUGUCUGGUGGGUAGUUUAACUGGGGCGGUUGCCUCCUAAAGAGUAACGGAGGCGCCCAAAGGUUCCCUCAGCCUGGUUGGCAAUCAGGUGUUGAGUGUAAGUGCACAAGGGAGCUUGACUGUGAGACUGACAGGUCGAGCAGGAGCGAAAGCUGGGACUAGUGAUCCGGCAUCGGCGUGUGGAAGCGGUGUCGCUCAACGGCUAAAAGGUACCCCGGGGAUAACAGGCUGAUCUUCCCCAAGAGUCCAUAUCGACGGGAUGGUUUGGCACCUCGAUGUCGGCUCGUCGCAUCCUGGGGCUGGAGUAGGUCCCAAGGGUUGGGCUGUUCGCCCAUUAAAGCGGUACGCGAGCUGGGUUUAGAACGUCGCGAGACAGUUCGGUCCCUAUCCGCUGCGCGCGCAGGAGACUUGAAGGGGGCUGUCCCUAGUACGAGAGGACCGGGACGGACGAACCUCUGGUGUGCCAGUUGUACCGCCAGGUGCACGGCUGGUUGGCUACGUUCGGAAGGGAUAACCGCUGAAAGCAUCUAAGCGGGAAGCUCGCCUUGAGAUGAGGUCUCCCACCACGAGAGUGGGUAAGGCUCCCGGUAGACGACCGGGUCUAUAGGCCGGAGGUGGAAGCACGGUAACGUGUGGAGCUGACCGGUACUAAUAGGCCGAGGACUUGACC
Molecule: ribosomal RNA, 1502 nt
Filed under: metagenome
Description: bacterial LSU rRNA
Rfam family: Bacterial large subunit ribosomal RNA
Source: RNAcentral